GCAACAGCUCAAAUUUGAAAUCUGGCGCAAGCCCGAGUUGUAAUUUGCAGAGGAUGUUUCGGGUGAAGCCACGGUCCAAGUCCCUUGGAACAGGACGUCAUAGAGGGUGAGAACCCCGUACCUGGCCGUCGGUGCCCCCCGCUGUGAAACUCCUUCGACGAGUCGAGUUGUUUGGGAAUGCAGCUCUAAAUUGGUGGUAAAUUCCAUCUAAAGCUAAAUACCGGCCAGAGACCGAUAGCGCACAAGUAGAGUGAUCGAAAGAUGAAAAGCACUUUGAAAAGAGAGUUAAAAAGUACGUGAAAUUGUUGAAAGGGAAGCGCUUGCGGCCAGACUUGCCCGCGGUUGCUCAGCCCGCCUUUUGGCGGGUGCACUCUUCCGCGGUCAGGCCAGCAUCGGUUUGGGCGGCCGGAUAAAGGCGCCGGGAACGUGGCCUCCCCUCGGGGAGGUGUUAUAGCCCGGCGCGCAAUGCGGCCAGCCCGGACCGAGGUUCGCGCUUUGCUAGGAUGCUGGCGUAAUGGCCGUAAGCGGCCCGUCUUGAAACACGGACCAAGGAGUCUAACAUCUAUGCGAGUGUUUGGGUGUCAAACCCGUGCGCGUAAUGAAAGUGAACGGAGGUGGGAACCGCAAGGUGCACCAUCGACCGAUCCUGAUGUCUUCGGAAGGAUUUGAGUAAGAGCAUAGCUGUUGGGACCCGAAAGAUGGUGAACUAUGCGUGAAUAGGGUGAAGCCAGAGGAAACUCUGGUGGAGGCUCGCAGCGGUUCUGACGUGCAAAUCGAUCGUCAA
This 784-nucleotide ribosomal RNA is filed under the name Venturia finlandica. Its description in RNAcentral is "partial large subunit ribosomal RNA". It matches the Rfam family "Eukaryotic large subunit ribosomal RNA", at positions 101 to 908 of the family's 3401-position model. The record is from RNAcentral. Lineage: Eukaryota; Fungi; Ascomycota; Dothideomycetes; Venturiales; Venturiaceae.